Salvia hispanica is the source of this 660-nucleotide long non-coding RNA. RefSeq lists it as uncharacterized. Lineage: Eukaryota; Viridiplantae; Streptophyta; Magnoliopsida; Lamiales; Lamiaceae. The record is from RefSeq and is a predicted model, not a curated record.
GGUGUGAAAAGCGUAUUGAUCCAUGUGCACCUCCAUCUUGAUCGAUGUGAAAGGUUUUCAAAUCAGUCUUGAUGCAGAUCUUUGCAAAGGGCUGCCUAUGAAUCCAAGUGAAAUUGAAAUAAAAUGUUGGUUAAUAGAAUAAACUGAGAGAGCGGAGACGUAUUUCAACCCUCUAUAAAUACACAUUCUCACAUCAAAGAAUGAACUGAGAGAGCUGAGAUGUAUGGGAGCUAGAAGAAAAAUGUAAAGAAGAAGAAAAUAGACUUGCAGAUUCACUAAAGAAAUCCAACAAAGAGGAGGCAAAGUAUGAAGAGGAGGAAGAAGAAGAAGAAAAAUUAACCUGAUGAUGUACAGCGGAAAUGGCGGUCGGACAUGAUCAGUUAAUAAGGACAUAAACCAAGCCGAAGAUGGAGGCUGCGGUUGAUUUGAGGAGAAAGCAGGGAGAGGCGGUGGUAGAUUCUUAGACAUUUCUAUUUUAACCCUAGGUGGUGAAAAUAUUAUAGGACAACAAUAUUGGGCUUUGUAAUUACUACUCCAUUUGAUUUAGUUGUUGGUUGAGCCGCUCUCAUUUUUAAUAGAGCCCAUAAAUUUGGUUGAGCAACUCUCAGUUUGUGUGUUCGUUUUAUUAAUUUAUUUAAGUAAUUACACUAUUGGAAUUGA